CGCUUUGUCUGUUAGCUUCUCUAGGAGUACAUGAGGCCCCAUCUCUUCCUUGUUUCAUAGAAAUACGGUCACUGCAGAAGUAUAUCUUCCUGCCCACAUUCUGUCUUCUGUGGAUGUCCAGAGUGGAGAGCAGCAAGUCCCUCAGACCUCGCAGUCUUUGCCAUAGCUAAUCGAUUCUGUCAUUCAGAGUGAUAACAGCCAUAAGGAAUUGGAAUUGUUUCCGGGGUUUUGAACAUGCUGGGCAAAUCACCCUACAACUGAGCCAGUUUUCACUGAUUUCUUUUCAACACCUUAGAAAUGGUGUGCAGUUCUUAGUUGUACAGCUGUACAAAAGUAGACAGAUGAUGACUGCCUUCAGUAGACUCCAUGUUGGCUAUCCCCAACUGUGGAGUACCAUCCUGUCUCUGACAGCUUUGCUUUAGGCUUUCUUUACAGGGUAAGAGACAUUUCUGUGUUGGUCAGGAUGAAGCUGCCUGUGACUCAGCAGAACUGAGCCCUGAGAGGCAGAAAUUCAAUGCAGCACCUGUCAGGGAUGCUCCACCCCACAUGAACCAUCAAGAACAAUCCUGUCAGGGCUUUGGAUGGUCCUCCGGCUUCUCUGGCUUUCUACCCAAGGUUCAAAGUUAUAACUAUCCUUGAGGAUCUUCCUCUGUCUACUAGAACCUAGAGGUUGGAAAUAAAGUAUUGAGAAUUUACUUGUAAAUAUUCAUGGUCAUGAGUCUGGCUCAAGUCCUCUGGCCUCUGCUCCAUCAUCAAUACUGGAUCAGCCUCCUCUUGGAUGUCCUGUUGUUUCCCUGUGUCAUGGAGAUCCUGCAGCUUUGGAUCCACAGGACCAGCCUCUUCAUGCUCUCCAGCAGUUCAUAGAUGAGGUAGAUGUUGCAGUGGACCAACUCAGAGCCCUGGAUAUUAUAAGCCUGCUUGGUUAUAUUCCCUCACGUGUGCACAUGCAUCUGCCACACAGAAACACACACCAAAUACUACAGAAAAGGGUUGCUUUGGAUCUAUUUAGACUUCUCAGUAUUUCCGUACUAUCCAAUAUACAAUAAAGAUUGUGCAAAAUCA
Molecule: long non-coding RNA, 1062 nt
Organism: Mus musculus (house mouse)
Lineage: Eukaryota; Metazoa; Chordata; Mammalia; Rodentia; Muridae
Product: predicted gene, 41071
Exons: 3
Source: RefSeq, a predicted model, not a curated record